UACGGAGGGUGCGAGCGUUAAUCGGAAUUACUGGGCGUAAAGCGCGCGUAGGCGGUCGGGUUAGUCGAUUGUGAAAGCCCAGGGCUUAACCUUGGAAUUGCAUUCGAUACUGCUCGGCUAGAGUAUGGGAGAGGGAAGCGGAAUUUCCGGUGUAGCGGUGAAAUGCGUAGAUAUCGGAAGGAACACCAGUGGCGAAGGCGGCUUCCUGGCCCAAUACUGACCAUGAGGUGCGAAAGCGUGGGGAGCGAACAGG
This 253-nucleotide ribosomal RNA is filed under the name uncultured bacterium. RNAcentral's name for it is "partial 16S ribosomal RNA". It matches the Rfam family "Bacterial small subunit ribosomal RNA", at positions 524 to 776 of the family's 1533-position model. The record is from RNAcentral.